This 495-nucleotide ribosomal RNA is filed under the name uncultured bacterium. Its description in RNAcentral is "partial 16S ribosomal RNA". It matches the Rfam family "Bacterial small subunit ribosomal RNA", at positions 30 to 507 of the family's 1533-position model. The record is from RNAcentral.
UGAACGCUGGCGGCGUGCCUAAUACAUGCAAGUCGAGCGAACAGACGAGGAGCUUGCUCCUCUGACGUUAGCGGCGGACGGGUGAGUAACACGUGGAUAACCUACCUAUAAGACUGGGAUAACUUCGGGAAACCGGAGCUAAUACCGGAUAAUAUAUUGAACCGCAUGGUUCACUAGUGAAAGACGGUUUUGCUGUCACUUAUAGAUGGAUCCGCGCCGCAUUAGCUAGUUGGUAAGGUAACGGCUUACCAAGGCAACGAUGCGUAGCCGACCUGAGAGGGUGAUCGGCCACACUGGAACUGAGACACGGUCCAGACUCCUACGGGAGGCAGCAGUAGGGAAUCUUCCGCAAUGGGCGAAAGCUUGACGGAGCAACGCCGCGUGAGUGAUGAAGGUCUUCGGAUCGUAAAACUCUGUUAUUAGGGAAGAACAAAUGUGUAAGUAACUAUGCACGUCUUGACGGUACCUAAUCAGAAAGCCACGGCUAACUACGUG